UACGUAGGUGGCAAGCGUUAUCCGGAAUCACUGGGCGUAAAGCGCACGCAGGCGGCCUGGUAAGUCUGACGUGAAAGCUCCUGGCUUAACCGGGAGAGGUCGUUGGAGACUGCGAAGCUUGAGGCGAUGAGAGGGGUGCGGAAUUCCCGGUGUAGUGGUGGAAUGCGUAGAUAUCGGGAGGAACACCAGUGGCGAAGGCGGCUUCCUGGACUGUUCUUGACGCUGAGGCGCGAAAGCUAGGGGAGCAAACGGG
RNAcentral lists this ribosomal RNA (253 nucleotides) under uncultured bacterium. RNAcentral's name for it is "partial 16S ribosomal RNA". It matches the Rfam family "Bacterial small subunit ribosomal RNA", at positions 524 to 776 of the family's 1533-position model. The record is from RNAcentral.